GCCCCAGUUCGGGAGACAUGGCGGGCGUUAAAGCUCUUGUGGCAUUAUCCUUCAGUGGGGCUAUUGGACUGACUUUUCUUAUGCUGGGAUGUGCCUUAGAGGAUUAUGGAGUCACCUAUGACUCAGACGCAACCAGUAGUGCCUGUCGGGAACUGGCAUAUUUCUUCACUACUGGAAUUGUUGUUUCUGCCUUUGGAUUUCCUGUUAUUCUUGCUCGUGUGGCUGUGAUCAAAUGGGGAGCCUGUGGCCUUGUGUUGGCAGGCAAUGCAGUCAUUUUCCUUACAAUUCAAGGGUUUUUCCUUAUAUUUGGAAGAGGAGAUGAUUUUAGCUGGGAGCAGUGGUAGC
RNAcentral lists this small RNA (345 nucleotides) under Pongo abelii (Sumatran orangutan). RNAcentral describes it as "processed transcript". Lineage: Eukaryota; Metazoa; Chordata; Mammalia; Primates; Hominidae. The record is from RNAcentral.